AGAGUUUGAUCCUGGCUCAGAUUGAACGCUGGCGGUAUGCUUAACACAUGCAAGUCGAACGGAAACGAAACUAGCUUGCUAGUAGGCGUCGAGUGGCGGACGGGUGAGUAACGCGUAGGAAUCUGCCUGAUAGUGGGGGAUAGCCCGAAGAAAUUCGGAUUAAUACCGCAUAAUCUAUUCGUAGUAAAGUGAGGGACUUUCGAGCCUCACGCUAUCAGAUGAGCCUGCGUAAGAUUAGCUUGUUGGUAGGGUAAAAGCCUACCAAGGCAACGAUCUUUAGCUGGUCUGAGAGGAUGAUCAGCCACAUCGGGACUGAGACACGGCCCGAACUCCUACGGGAGGCAGCAGUGGGGAAUAUUGGACAAUGGGGGCAACCCUGAUCCAGCAAUACCGCGUGUGUGAAGAAGGCCUGAGGGUUGUAAAGCACUUUCAAUUGUGAAGAAAAGUUAACGGUUAAUAACCGUUAACCUUGACGUUAACUUUAGAAGAAGCACCGGCUAACUCCGUGCCAGCAGCCGCGGUAAUACGGAGGGUGCAAGCGUUAAUCGGAAUUACUGGGCGUAAAGCGUGCGUAGGCGGUUUAUUAAGUCAGAUGUGAAAGCCCCGGGCUUAACCUGGGAACUGCAUUUGAAACUGGUCAACUAGAGUAUGGUAGAGGAAAGUGGAAUUUCUG
RNAcentral lists this ribosomal RNA (673 nucleotides) under uncultured Gammaproteobacteria bacterium. Its description in RNAcentral is "bacterial SSU rRNA". It matches the Rfam family "Bacterial small subunit ribosomal RNA", at positions 8 to 672 of the family's 1533-position model. Lineage: Bacteria; Pseudomonadati; Pseudomonadota; Gammaproteobacteria. The record is from RNAcentral.